Ostrea edulis (European flat oyster) is the source of this 378-nucleotide long non-coding RNA. RefSeq lists it as uncharacterized. The transcript has 3 exons. NCBI's taxonomy places the organism in Eukaryota, Metazoa, Mollusca, Bivalvia, Ostreida, Ostreidae. The record is from RefSeq and is a predicted model, not a curated record.
UUUUAGCCUGACACAGGAUAUAUAAAUGGUUUUUUUUUUUACACUACAAAUCGCCCAACUCUUUCCACAGACCAACAACAAAGUUUCCAUUAUGAAAGUCGUCUUAAUCUUUGUUGCCGUGAUUGUUGCAGUAUAUGCCGAGAACUGUACAACUGGUCCUGCAGAUUGCUCAUUUACAGUAUGUACCUCGGUCACAGGGGCGGAGCUUCACUGUGUGGAUGGUUUAUGCACGUGUACCACACCAGCCAUAGGAGUCGAAGCAUGCAGUAGUAAAUUUGAUUGUCAUGAAGGGUGCCCCCACGGACGACCCCAUUGCAUUGGUGGACGUUGUAGAUGUGCUCAUUAAAUUUGCGCAGCAAUAAAUGAUUAUCCUUAAAA